AUUGAACGCUGGCGGCAUGCCUUACACAUGCAAGUCGAACGGCAGCACGGGAGCAAUCCUGGUGGCGAGUGGCGAACGGGUGAGUAAAGUAUCGGAACGUGCCCAGUCGUGGGGGAUAACGUAGCGAAAGUUACGCUAAUACCGCAUACGAUAUAUGGAUGAAAGCGGGGGAUCGCAAGACCUCGCGCGCUUGGAGCGGCCGAUAUCUGAUUAGGUAGUUGGUGGGGUAAAGGCCCACCAAGCCGACGAUCUGUAGCUGGUCUGAGAGGACGACCAGCCACACUGGGACUGAGACACGGCCCAGACUCCUACGGGAGGCAGCAGUGGGGAAUUUUGGACAAUGGGCGAAAGCCUGAUCCAGCCAUGCCGCGUGCAGGAUGAAGGCCUUCGGGUUGUAAACUGCUUUUGUACGGAACGAAAAGGACUGCCCUAAUACGGUGGUCCCAUGACGGUACCGUAAGAAUAAGCACCGGCUAACUACGUGCCAGCCGCCGCAGUAA
RNAcentral lists this ribosomal RNA (500 nucleotides) under uncultured bacterium. RNAcentral describes it as "partial 16S ribosomal RNA". It matches the Rfam family "Bacterial small subunit ribosomal RNA", at positions 30 to 523 of the family's 1533-position model. The record is from RNAcentral.